Molecule: ribosomal RNA, 473 nt
Filed under: uncultured bacterium
Lineage: Bacteria
Description: bacterial SSU rRNA
Rfam family: Bacterial small subunit ribosomal RNA
Source: RNAcentral
GACGAACGCUGGCGGCGUGCUUAACACAUGCAAGUCGAACGGUAAGGCUCUUCGGAGUACACGAGUGGCGAACGGGUGAGUAACACGUGAGCAACCUGCCCUUGACACUGGGAUAACAGCCGGAAACGGUUGCUAAUACCGGAUAUGACCUCUCCAGGCAUCUGGAAAGGUGGAAAGCUCCGGCGGUCAAGGAUGGGCUCGCGGCCUAUCAGCUUGUUGGUGAGGUAACGGCUCACCAAGGCUUCGACGGGUAGCCGGCCUGAGAGGGCGACCGGCCACACUGGGACUGAGAUACGGCCCAGACUCCUACGGGAGGCAGCAGUGGGGAAUAUUGCACAAUGGGCGCAAGCCUGAUGCAGCAACGCCGCGUGCGGGAUGACGGCCUUCGGGUUGUAAACCGCUUUCAGCAGGGACGAAGCGAAAGUGACGGUACCUGCAGAAGAAGGACCGGCCAACUACGUGCCAGCCGCCGC